Molecule: long non-coding RNA, 592 nt
Filed under: Anser cygnoides (Swan goose)
Lineage: Eukaryota; Metazoa; Chordata; Aves; Anseriformes; Anatidae
Description: lncRNA (ENSACDG00005002778.1)
Source: RNAcentral
AUGUCAGCUCACCAUCUGAUACAGAGCAACAUCAGAGAAACAGGCAGCUCUGCCUGGAGGCUGCCACCCCCUUACAGACACCUUGAAAGCAGCAAUGGUGAGAUCCAGGCGAUAUUGGGAGCAACGCAGCAGGGGAUGCUCCCAGCGGAGGCCGAGAGUCAGAGGCAGGAGACGAAAAAGGAGGCAAGGGAGAAUGAGGAGAAGGGCAGGAGGGAGCAAGAAGUACCAUUACAGGAGGUUGAGCACCACUGCCCUGGAGCAGUAGGGACCUGCAGGUGUGGAUUUCCUGCCGGGAGGGUCUGUGUCACACCCCACCAAGGUCACAGGGAGAUCUCUGUCACCUCACAAACCUUUGACAUCACUGGUGGAGCCUCUGAAGUACAGAUGCCAGAUCAACCUGUGCCAUCCUGUGUAAUUCCUGCUGAAAGGCAAAGCAAAGAGAUACCUGGAGGAUCUACAAGGCACUGGAUAAGAAGUAUCCUUUCAAAGAAAGAGGAGUCAAAGUUGAGGGAUGUCCCCAGAUUCAUACCACGUGAAAAUAAGAAGAUAGGAAGGAAGGUGAUAGCUUCUCUAGAACUCUAGAACUCCCUCU